RNAcentral lists this small nucleolar RNA (80 nucleotides) under Cephalotus follicularis. Its description in RNAcentral is "small nucleolar RNA snoR117". It matches the Rfam family "small nucleolar RNA snoR117". The record is from Rfam by way of RNAcentral. Lineage: Eukaryota; Viridiplantae; Streptophyta; Magnoliopsida; Oxalidales; Cephalotaceae.
GGCCGGUGAUGUACAAAAUUUGUCCGUACCAUCUGAGAUUUUAUAUCUUUGAUGUGUCUAAAAGUUUAUUUCUGAGGCAU